This 459-nucleotide ribosomal RNA is filed under the name uncultured bacterium. RNAcentral's name for it is "SSU rRNA". It matches the Rfam family "Bacterial small subunit ribosomal RNA", at positions 26 to 518 of the family's 1533-position model. The record is from RNAcentral.
AGAAUCAACGCUGGCGGCGUGCCUAACACAUGCAAGUCGAACGAGAAAGUGGAGCAAUCCACGAGUAAAGUGGCGCACGGGUGAGUAACACGUGACUAACCUACCCUUGAGUGGGGGAUAACCUAGGGAAACCUGGGCUAAUACCGCAUAAUACCUUCGGGUCAAAGGAGCAAUUCGCUUAAGGAGGGGUCGCGGCCGAUUAGUUAGUUGGCGGGGUAAUGGCCCACCAAGACUAUGAUCGGUAUCCGGCCUGAGAGGGCGCACGGACACACUGGAACUGAAACACGGUCCAGACUCCUACGGGAGGCAGCAGUGGGGAAUUUUGCGCAAUGGGGGAAACCCUGACGCAGCAACGCCGCGUGGAGGAUGAAGUCCCUUGGGACGUAAACUCCUUUCGAUCGGGACGAUAAUGACGGUACCGAGAGAAGAAGCCCCGGCUAACUUCGUGCCAGCAGCCGC